UGCCAUGUGUGUACAAUGUACAGUACAGUGUGGACGAACGGGUCUUCUUUUUCAUAUUUUUCUCCCCUUGAGGGCGCUCGUGGAAAUUGAGCACAAGCUUCUUGUUCUGGUUCACGAAGGUACAAUGUACUGUACCUGUACAGUACACGUACAUGUACAUGAACUACUAGCCUACUACAAAGUACAAGAUGACAUGUACCGACCGGGUAAGCACUGAGGGAUUUCCUGUGUAGUAACAUGGUAGACGUGUCGUGUCGAAACAUGUGUCGAAACAUGAUAAUGACUACCGCUGCAGACGUCCUAUGAGUGGUACAUUUCCAAGGGCAUCAUCAAAAGCAGUUGGAUGAAGAAGCAUCUCCAGGAGGUCCCCACCUCACUGUCUUCUUUGACUUGGACUGGGACGAGAGCAUGUGGAAGGAGAGGCAGAUGGAGUGUAUCACCAGGGUUGGAGUUCGCAGGGAAGAUGUGAUAGCAGCCGAGCGAGCAGCAGCCCUGUGCACGGCCUUUGAGCUUUCUGCAAAGUCCCUCUUUGUCCUGCCCUGUGUGGACAAUCUGUUGCAUUACACCAUCAGGCUGGAGAAUGCUUUCUAUGAGAUGACUCAGGGGUACUACCACACUGAGGCUAGGUGGGUCAAAGCUCAUUGGGAGUUCCUCAAUGGAACCACUCAUCAGGUUUGCCCUCUAGAUGCCAUCAGGCAGUUUUGCAAGCAUGUGGGCCUGUUCAAGAACAAGAUGCCAUGAGCUAGCCUUUGACCACUCAGCCUGGUUGUCCAAACAAUCCAGCAUAUUUGGGGAUUUAUUUGAGGAGGCCAUCACGUUGGGCUUGACAGCAAUCCAGACCCAACAUCCCAGUUUCUAAUGCCAGCAGGCUGCCAACCAUAUGCCAUUACCAGGAAGUAGCUCUGUCAAGGCCUCUGCCAUGUACCGCUGCCGCAGGUUACUUGAUUGCAUGACCUAGAAUGACGGUGGCCACUGCUGACUUCCACACUGAUUCCAGAGGAGAGGACAGGGGUCCAGAUGAUCCUGAUUUGAGUUCUUGCAGUUGGGUUGUGGCACUGUGCACAGUAUAUUGUCUACUGGCUGCCAAGAUUCUUCAGCAUCUGCUGACCAGGAACCUGAGCCAGGCUGUUCACCAGAUGCCAUUGAGCAAGCAGACCAAUCCUGGAAGACAAUGUCUAGUUACAGAGCACCCCCAAGGCGUUCCGAGAGAAAAAUCUGGUGCCCCUUGUCGAAUGCAAGUCUCGUUUUACUAGCCUUCGUUUCGCUGCUGAUUAGCUGGUCAUUUCUCUGAGAUCCCUUUGGUGAUGAGGCCAAGCAACGUGUGUUCUCUACUGGCAAGGAGUUUGGGCCCAUGCAGCCCAACUCGUGAAUAUUCAAGACGUGGUGAUCUACAUGUAUACACAAGGUCCAUCUAAUCCAGACCAACUGGGUGUUGGAGAGACCACCAGUGUGCAUCCAUGGCCUGCAUAUGUUCACAUUGAUCUGGAUCAUCAGCCUCCCUGUCUUGUCAACGAGUACUACUGCAUGAAGGUGGCAAUAAUCAACAAUGAAGAAGUAGCCAUUACACUUCCUAUGUAUGUGCAUCAUAGGGUACAUACGGCGAAAAAAACAAAAUCAAUGGAUAAGAGACUAUGCCACUUAAAUUUAUGUCCAAUUUGUGCAGGGGAUGAAGCAUGUAUGUUUGCUUAGCAUGGAGAGACUUUGUCCAGCACAGAUGGGUUACAGCCAAAAUGUUGCAAUGUGCGUUGGUAGUAACUGGUCCCUGGCUGGUUUUCAGUCAGCCAGAAAAUGUGCUUAGCGACAUGUUCUGCUAGCCUUCCCAUGAGAUUGGACCAGGGAGAAGACUGUAAACUGCUGUGAACUGCUGAGUCCAAUUUAUUCUGCUUUGGUUAAGACUAGCAUGUCUGCCUGUGAAAGCCACUAGUCAGCCACAGGGGCUACUUCCCGUAGACUUUGGUGUUAAUGCCACAAGUUCACUGUGGUCAUUAGGAGGGUUGUGUAUUUUGAUGACAUGAUAUUUGUUCAACCAUUUGUGGACAAUUGACAAUAGGUUUUUUCUGUUCAAUUAUUCUCUGAUAUUUCUUUAUGUACAUGUAUAUUGAUACACAUGUAUAUUGGUCAGUUAAGGAAAGAAUGCAAACUUAUCUCGAGGUUUACCCCAAGGCACCUCACCAACCCUGUUAAACCUUGUAAAACUUCCAGGUAAUCCUGUUUAAAAUUGCAUUCUUCCCCAACAUUGCCUGGUGCAUACAGAUGUUCAUAGUAAUGACCACUUGCAUCAUUAGCAUUGUUCUCUUAAGACUGUCACAGGACUCCACGGGAUUGUCACAAGACAACAAGACCUCCAGUCUGAAUUUAAGUCACAAGCUACAAAUGAUGUGCAACAAAAGUAUUCCUUUGUGUUGUCCUUGUUACUUUUGACUCGUGUGACCUGCCUUGUAAUGGUGUCAACUACAAACGGAUCAUUAGCACUCUGUUCACCUGCUUAAAACUCCCAUUUUCAUGAAAUGAAAAACAAAUGAGUCAAUGGCAUAUAGGCAGGUGAAAGGAGAGUGACAAAGUCCUGUAUGCCCCAAGUGUUUUCAGACAGAUUAGUGUCACUUUUUGCAGUAUAAAAUCUCAAAAAUGAAAAAACCCAUGGGAUGGAUUGUCCCAAGUGGAACAAAAGCAGUGAAGACCAAAACUUUCAUCAAUAAAAACCUUUACAAAUCAAAACUUUCUACCCGCCAUGAGUUGAAGUGCUGCCUCAUCAGCAAAGAAAAGACAGGUUAAUUGGAAGUUUCUCUCUUUAAUACGGAAGCAUAUAGAGGCCACAAGUUACUGCAGUGACUUAAGUCGUUGAAUGCCUAUCUCACUGUUAUAUGACCUUGCCGCGGUGUCAAACUGAACUCCCGCCGCAGCGAAUAUUUCAGUAGUUUCAAAAUUCCUGUUAUGUAUCAUCAGGGUGGAAUGCAUUGAGAUUGGGUCUCAGAUCAUUUCAAACAAAAGGAGAUUUGGUAUUUCAAAACAGUUUGAUUUCCAACAAAAAACAAAAGAAAUCUCAUUCGCGGCGUGAAUUUCCAUCUUUGCAAAUUGGGUAGACUAUUCUGCAUUCCCUAGUUGACUGCC
Molecule: long non-coding RNA, 3108 nt
Filed under: Acanthaster planci (crown-of-thorns starfish)
Lineage: Eukaryota; Metazoa; Echinodermata; Asteroidea; Valvatida; Acanthasteridae
Description: uncharacterized LOC110986363
Source: RNAcentral